Molecule: long non-coding RNA, 895 nt
Filed under: Oncorhynchus kisutch (coho salmon)
Lineage: Eukaryota; Metazoa; Chordata; Actinopteri; Salmoniformes; Salmonidae
Description: lncRNA (ENSOKIG00005042610.1)
Source: RNAcentral
CAAUAAACCCUGAGUAGUGGGGCGAAGGGAGGGGGGGACCGGGGACCGGGGCAGGCGAUGCUGUCAGCGAAAGGAUUCACUGUGCCUGAAUAGAAGUAGCGGUCUUAUCCAUCCCAUAUAGACAUGAAAUGCUUUUUCUAAGACAUCUCAGCGGACUUGCCAGUUGCUAGAAGUAGCCUAGUUAUUUAUUUUAUUUCUAUAAUAGGAUAUUAUAAAGUCCAAGAUAUUAGUUUAGUUAUCGACCGGGGUCACAAUGCUACCGUCUUCAUCAUCGGGGCUGGUGCAGAUGGAAGGAUGUGGGGCGGAGGCGCGAGAUACCCAAAAAAUGCAGUGCAUGAAACUGACUGAAGAGAGAGAUGAAGCAGAGAGCCAGCUGAAACACAUCAAGAGAGAAAUACUGGACGUGGAGACUAUCCAGGGAGUCAGAGAGGAGUAGUUUAACCGCAGGACAGCUAUAGAGAUCAGCCUGUCGUCAUGUGUGUGUGCUGCAGAACUUUCCUACUGCUCCUAAGCGUGAUAACAAGCAAAAUCUUCGAUCCCCUUUCCCAGAAUUCUCAGGGACUCAUGCAUGCUCAGUGUCAGACAUCAGGGUUAGGAUCGACCUACUGCUUUGCAAAUAUGGUGUAAUCAAGCUGGGGAUAAUAUGCAGAGGCAUGUGUGUUCAGAAGGCAUUAGAGCAAAUGGGGCGGCAGGGUAGCCUUGUGGUUAGAGCGUUGGACUAGUAACCGGAAGGUUGCAAGUUCAAAUCCCAGAGCUGACAAGGUACAAAUCUGUCGUUCUGCCCCUGAACAGGCAGUUAACCCACUGUUCCUAGGCUUUUGUUCUUAACUGACUUGCCGAGUUAAAUAAAGGUUAAAUAAAGGUUAAAAUAAUAAAAUGAAUGAAUAAGCAUGAA